UUGAAUUAGUGUCACCCAUUAAUCGGGUUCCAAAUCAGUUAGAAAAUUACCAAAAAAUAUUUUUACUUGUAAAGUAAGUUAUAUGAUUAUGAGGGUUGUGAAAAAUAAAACGUCGAUAAUGACAAUGUAUCGCAAAGAAAAAAGAAAGAAAAAAAUAAAGAACAUACAAAUUUUUACGUGGAAACCCUUUCGGGAAAAAACCA
Molecule: long non-coding RNA, 203 nt
Filed under: Gossypium raimondii (Peruvian cotton)
Lineage: Eukaryota; Viridiplantae; Streptophyta; Magnoliopsida; Malvales; Malvaceae
Description: long non-coding RNA (GRAI_LNC010337)
Source: RNAcentral